UAGUCUUGCAAGGGCAAUUUUGUCUCAUGAUCUCUUUCUGAGAUCGGUUUUAUUUUAACAGGGAUUUCAGUCUCCUGUGUAUUGAUGAUUUGGUUAAUUGUGUUGCUUAGUUGACCUUUAGGUUCUCCUAGGACUACUCCCUUAUUAGCAUCAUUGGUAAGAGGAAACUUACCUGCUUCCGGCGGGGUGUCGUCGAUCGAUGUUUGAUGAGCGGC
Molecule: long non-coding RNA, 215 nt
Filed under: Brassica napus (rape)
Lineage: Eukaryota; Viridiplantae; Streptophyta; Magnoliopsida; Brassicales; Brassicaceae
Description: long non-coding RNA (BNAP_LNC022733)
Source: RNAcentral